CCUGGUUGAUCCUGCCAGUAGUCAUAUGCUUGUCUCAAAGAUUAAGCCAUGCAUGUCUAAGUUUAAGCGAUUUAAACAGCGAGACUGCGGACGGCUCAUUAUAUCAGUUAUAGUUUAUUUGAUGGUCGAUUGCUACAAGGAUAACCGUAGUAAUUCUAGAGCUAAUACUUGCACUUCAAAACAGUUUUCUGUUUGCACUUAUUAGAUUCCCCACCAAUGCCUUUUAGGCUUCGGUGAAUCAUAGUAAUUUAGCGGAUCCACAGCCUUCGGGCGCGACGCUUCAUUCAAAUUUCUGCCCUAUCAGCUUUCGAAGGUAGUGUAUUGGACUACCUUGGCUUUGACGGGUAACGGAGAAUUAGGGUUCGAUUCCGGAGAGGGAGCCUGAGAAACGGCUACCACAUCUAAGGAAGGCAGCAGGCGCGCAAAUUACCCAAUCCUGACACAGGGAGGUAGUGACAAGAAAUAACAAAGCAAGUCUCUCAGAGGCGCUGCGUUGGAAUGAGUAGAAUUUAAAUCUCUGUACGACCAUCAAUUGGAGGGCAAGUCUGGUGCCAGCAGCCGCGGUAAUUCCAGCUCCAAUAGCGUAUAUUAAAGUUGUUGCGGUUAAAAAGCUCGUAGUUGGAUUUCUGUUGAGGGCGACCGGUGUACACCUCGUGUAUUAUUUGGUUCGGUCUCGGCAUCCUCUUGGGGAACGUUUCUGGACUUUAUUGGACAGGGCGAGAUUCAAGACUUUUACUUUGAGGAAAUUAGAGUGUUCACGGCAGGCAAUCGCCUUGAAUAUGUUAGCAUGGAAUAAUAAUAUAGGCACGAGAUCCUAUUUUGUUGGUUUCUAGGAGCUCAUGAAUGAUAAAUAGGGACAGUUGGGGGCAUUCGUAUUACGGCGUCAGAGGUGGAAUUCUUAGAUUGCCGUACGACGAACUACUGCGAAAGCAUUUGCCAAGGAUGUUUUCAUUGAUCAAGAACGAAAGUCGAGGGAUCGAAGAUGAUUAGAUACCGUCGUAGUCUCGACCAUAAACUAUGCCAUCUA
RNAcentral lists this ribosomal RNA (1027 nucleotides) under marine metagenome. Its description in RNAcentral is "bacterial SSU rRNA". It matches the Rfam family "Eukaryotic small subunit ribosomal RNA", at positions 3 to 1048 of the family's 1831-position model. The record is from RNAcentral.